This 317-nucleotide long non-coding RNA is filed under the name Setaria viridis. RNAcentral's name for it is "long non-coding RNA (SVIR_LNC001048)". The record is from RNAcentral. Lineage: Eukaryota; Viridiplantae; Streptophyta; Magnoliopsida; Poales; Poaceae.
GUACAUUUUGCAGCACGGUUCAUGGGUUCCUUGCCCAACCGGAUAGGUCUGCAGGUUUCUGGUCCAUGAGGGCUUUUUGACUCUGGAAAGGAGAAACAACGCGCGCACUUGCGCAGCAUACGGAUCAUGGGAUAUCUGAUUGUAUCAGGAUAUGGUUUUAUUAAAAAAAAAAGUAUCAGGAUAUGGGCACUGUCACUUGUUCCACUGAAGAUAACAUUUCAGAACACCGUCCUCAAUUCUUUUUGGAACAAUGGCCAGGAUUGUUUCCUCGGUAAGUUGCUGAACCUUUGGGGUGAAUUGCACUGCAGUUCCCCCCC